GUUUUAAUAUAAGUAUGUGGCAUGUACUAUUUGGAGCAUACUUAUACUAAAA
This 52-nucleotide microRNA precursor is filed under the name Marmota monax (woodchuck). The record is from RNAcentral. Lineage: Eukaryota; Metazoa; Chordata; Mammalia; Rodentia; Sciuridae.